Molecule: non-coding RNA, 375 nt
Organism: Paramuricea clavata
Lineage: Eukaryota; Metazoa; Cnidaria; Anthozoa; Malacalcyonacea; Plexauridae
Source: the annotation of a GenBank genome assembly
AAACUUUUUUCUGAAAAAAAAAACACAAACUUUUUUGGGGAAAAGAACACAAACUUUUUUUGAAAAAAAAAUACAAACUUUUUUUGGAGAAAAAAAACACAAGCUUUUUUGUGACAAACACGUGGCCGUACACGUGUACAAUUUAUUGUACAAGAUGACAUCGGGGGGCCGUAGUUUCAAUUGACUGGUGCAUUAUUUUUUCGUUAGUGUAUGCCAUCACUCGAUAUAUCGGUAUCAAUUACGAAAAUAACAAUAGUUUAUAAUACGGCAACAGUAACUUCUAAAGUUAGCACUAAUUAUUCUAAUUCUUUACUCCUGUCAAUGAAAAAUUCAAAAUCAAUAUUCUGACCAAUCAGAAUGCUCCGUCACCCAGCU